AGUGAACGCUGGCGGUAGGCCUAACACAUGCAAGUCGAACGGCAGCACAGUAAGAGCUUGCUCUUACGGGUGGCGAGUGGCGGACGGGUGAGGAAUACAUCGGAAUCUACUUUUUCGUGGGGGAUAACGUAGGGAGACUUACGCUAAUACCGCAUACGACCUACGGGUGAAAGCAGGGGAUCUUCGGACCUUGCGCGAUUGAAUGAGCCGAUGUCGGAUUAGCUAGUUGGCGGGGUAAAGGCCCACCAAGGCGACGAUCCGUAGCUGGUCUGAGAGGAUGAUCAGCCACACUGGAACUGAGCCACGGUCCAGCCUCCUACGGGAGGCAGCAGUGGGGAAUAUUGGACAAUGGGCGCAAGCCUGAUCCAGCCAUACCGCGUGGGUGAAGAAGGCCUUCGGGUUGUAAAGCCCUUUUGUUGGGAAAGAAAAGCAGCAGGUUAAUACCCCGCUGUUCUGACGGUACCCAAAGAAUAAGCACCGGCUAACUUCGUG
Molecule: ribosomal RNA, 492 nt
Filed under: uncultured bacterium
Lineage: Bacteria
Description: partial 16S ribosomal RNA
Rfam family: Bacterial small subunit ribosomal RNA
Source: RNAcentral